AAGACCUUGCGCUUUUGGAGCGGCCGAUGCCUGAUUAGCUUGUUGGUAAGGUAAAAGCUUACCAAGGCUUCGAUCAGUAGCUGGUCUGAGAGGACGGCCAGCCACACUGGGACUGAGACACGGCCCAGACUCCUACGGGAGGCAGCAGUGGGGAAUUUUGGACAAUGGGGGCAACCCUGAUCCGGCCAUGCCGCGUGAGUGAAGAAGGCCUUCGGGUUGUAAAGCUCUUUCAGCCGGAACGAAACGGUUACGGUUAAUACCCGUGAUUACUGACGGUACCGGAAGAAGAAGCACCGGCUAACUACGUGCCAGCAGCCGCGGUAAUACGUAGGGUGCGAGCGUUAAUCGGAAUUACUGGGCGUAAAGCGUGCGCAGGUGGUUUUGUAAGUCAGAUGUGAAAGCCCCGGGCUCAACCUGGGAACU
Molecule: ribosomal RNA, 423 nt
Filed under: uncultured bacterium
Lineage: Bacteria
Description: bacterial SSU rRNA
Rfam family: Bacterial small subunit ribosomal RNA
Source: RNAcentral